Non-coding RNA from Misgurnus anguillicaudatus (oriental weatherfish), 2483 nucleotides. The record is from RefSeq and is a predicted model, not a curated record. NCBI's taxonomy places the organism in Eukaryota, Metazoa, Chordata, Actinopteri, Cypriniformes, Cobitidae.
UUAUAUUAAACAUGUUAUUUAUGUAUGUGUGUGUGUUUAUAUUCCUCUGUUUAUUAAACCAGAGGGGUGGUGAUGUGGAGAGGCAGACCAGACCACCACCAUACGCGAAGAUGAGCCUCGAGGCUUGACAGUUAUUUUUUCAAACUGAGGAGUUCGGACUCCGGACCGUCAUUUCUGCUUGUUUGUACCCUGAGAUAACCAUGGUUAAUAAAUGGUCAGACACGUCAUUGUCUUAAAAUAUAAACCCCAUUGAUGCAAAAAGGUAAGGUGCUUAAAAGGACCUUGUAAGACUUCGUCACUAAUGUUCAUUAAAGAGAAAAUAAAAAGAAAUCUGUGUUUUGUAGCUUUAAUGAUAAUUCUUACUGUAUGUAUUUCAUUUAGAAUUUAGCAUUAAAGACUGUAAAGUGUUUGAGGAUUUAAUUUAAAUUCUGUAUAUUUCACACUAUUUUUUUAUUGAACAUUGUGUUUUGAAAAAUACAUCACUAGUCAAUUGCAACCUCAAGUUAAUGUAGACUUUAAGGAACUUGUUUGUCUGAAAGUGGAUAUAUAAAGAUUUUUUGUUUUAAGAUGCUGCAUGGAAUGACAAUGUGGUUUGGAACAGACUUGGUAAAGAACAUGGAAACAUCUCUUAAUAAAAUGGCCCCAAACAUCAUCAGGAGUGCAAAAGAAGGAAGUAAAAACAUCUCUACGCCAAUCUCAUUGGAGAGGAAACCACAGAAGGUCUGGUGAGGAAUGCUGCACUUAUGUUAUUGCAAGCAUUAUUUCAAGAAAAUCCCAGCUUCCUUUACUGUGUAAAUAGUGAACCCAAAGGUCCCACACCAACCAUAGUGUUCAACGGCUCUCCUGAUCUUUUCAAAUCUGAAUGUAUCAACUUUAUAAUGGACAAUGUGAACUUAAUAUGUGGAAGACAUUGACAUCACAGGCUGUGGAAUGACUGUGUCACAGGUCGGAGAAGCGGACCGCCCCUGUCGCGGAUCACGCUCCUCCUAGUUCCACCUCGAGGAGGUCCCAAAGCACCCCAAUGACCAGACAAACCAGAGGGGGAGUAUUACGGGGCCAGGGACGUUGGAGGGGUUUCCACGUGACUCCAGCUGGAACACCGCUACAGAGCGUAUCUGGGUGGGUUGGGCACACACCGUCGCGGCGGCCCCUGAUGGCAUCCACAAGGGUCCAAGACCCUCCUAAGCUCCUAGCCAUAGCAGAACUACGUAUUUCAGCACCCGAAGGACUAACAACCCAGCCGGCAUCUGCAGCGUAUAUCCAACGCGAUCAAACUUCACUCUGACAAGUAACUUCCUAUACACAACCACGCCGUCCUUUCGCCCGGACCAGCCCCGCACUCUUUCCGCCCGCUACCUAGCGGUCGCCGGAUCAGCAGAGCCUGCGGACUCUUCGGAGGCUGGUCUUCUUUGUGCUGCCCAAGGCGGAAGUUGACUCGCCCGAAAAUCGACCCUUCCAGUAACUUCUACCUUCUCUCUUUAUAUCCUCCUCCCAGGCGUGGCUCGCCCAACCAUCGCUCGCCACGUCACUCACACAGCUGUGCCUUGUUUCAGCGAGUGCGGGGAUUCCCGGGGAACCCUGAAGUGCCGGUGUCUGUACAAACCGGUCCGGGCGGAACCUCUUCACUCUCCUUUUGGUUCCGCCCCGCAUAGUCACUCCGUGACAACUGUUUGCGUUUUUUUUCUCCUCAAUGUUCAAUACCCUUUUGCCAUUAAGCACACAGUGACUUUAAUUUAUAAAAUAUAUGCUUAAGUUUUAAUACCUGUACAAAACAAAUGUACAAUCAACUUGUGUAAAUUGUCAUUCUAUUUAAUAGAUUGUUCAUGAAUUGUCUUUAAAUGCAUUGUGAUUUCGGUAACACUUUACAAUAAAGUUCAUUAGUUAACAUUAGUUAAUGUAUUAACUAACUUGAACAAACCAUAAGCAAUACAUUUGUUACAGUAUUUAUUCAUCUUUGUUAAUGUUAGUUAAUAAAAAUUUAAGCUUUAAUUGCUUGUUCAUGUUAGUUCAGAGUGCAUUAACUAAUGUUAACAAGAUUUUAAUAAAGUAAUUGUUGAAAUUAACAUUAACAAAGAUUAAUAAAGGCUGUAUAAGUGUAGUUCAUUAUUAGUUUAUGUUAACUAAUGUAGCUAACUAAUGUUAACUAAUGAACCUUAUUGUAAAGUGUUACCGUGAUUUCUUUUCAUCAUUUCAGACACAUGUAAAAGUUACUAAAAAUUAAUACUGCAUAUACUGUACAGUAAGGGAAAUAACUUAAACAAAAUUUUUAAUGUAUAGUGUAAUUAAGAGUUUAGCUGUUUAAUACAGAGAUGCAAUUUAUUUAUAUAUAUUAUUUAUAUAUAAACGUAUGUAUGUUUAUUAAAAAGUGAAAAUGCUUAAUGGAAAUAAUUAAAUAACUAAAUGGUUGAAUGUAAUGAGACAUUUUAAAUGUAAACUAAAGUUUUGCUGUCUAAUACAGAAUAAAGAGAUGUGAUUUUAAGUAA